Molecule: unclassified non-coding RNA, 2156 nt
Filed under: Harpegnathos saltator (Jerdon's jumping ant)
Lineage: Eukaryota; Metazoa; Arthropoda; Insecta; Hymenoptera; Formicidae
Description: uncharacterized LOC112588310, transcript variant X8
Source: RNAcentral
CUCAACAAUGACGUCGGCGACAAAAUAUUGAUUGUGCAGUACAUACUAUUGAUACAGGCGAUACAUAUAAUAUUAAUUUAGACAUUGAGAUUCCUCAUGAAAUGUCUAAUGACAAUAUUCUUAUUGAAGAGAAUAGUAACAAUUAUUUGAAUAAUAAUAAUAUAUAUAUGUAUGGAGAUGUCGAAGAAUGCAAUCAAAGAAUUGAUUCUUAUUCAAAUUGUAGUUAUUCAGAAUCUGAUAUGGAAUUGAUUGCCGAAUGCAAUAAUCAAUGUUAUAAAGAUUUGAGUUUUAAUGUACAGAAAGAACUUGCAUUAUACAAAUUUCUUCGGACAUGGAGUCUUGAGUAUAACAUUACUCAUGUGGCUCUAACAAAAUUGCUUCAAGGUCUCAAAAUCAAUGGAUAUGAAAAGCUUCCUUGUAAUGCGAGAACUUUAUUGGGAACUCCGAGAACAACAUCAAUAAUUAAGAAUCAUUCUGGUACUUUUUAUUAUCAUGGAUUGCAGACAGCAUUGAAGAAUCAUUUACGAUAUAAUAAACCUCUCCAUGAACGUUGUGAAAAUGAAAUUAAAAUCAACUUAAGCAUUGACGGACUACCAUUGGCAAAGAGUUCUAAAUCGCAAUUUUGGCCACUUUUAGGGCAAAUUGUCCACGUUCAUUAUAGAGAAAAACCUUUUGUCAUUGGAGUAUUCCACGGAUAUUGUAAGCCGAAGAAACCGAAUGAGAUUAUUCAUCAAUUUAUUGAAGAAUAUAGUGAAAUUCAAAAUAAAGGAUUCCAAUAUCGAGGAAAAAAAUACAAAGUUUUAAUAAAUGCUAUAAUAUGCGACGCCCCGGCAAAAGCAUUCAUGAAAUGUAUUAAAAGUCAUACAGGAUAUUAUGGAUGCGAUAAAUGUGAAGAGGAAGGUGAAUGGAGGAACAAUCGAAUGUUAUUCCUUAAUGAAAAUGCUCCAUUACGCACAGAUGCAAAAUUUUUAUUACGACAUAAUGAAGAUCAUCAUGUGGAUAAUUCACCUUUUGAAAACAUUGGAUUGAAAAUGGUAACACAGUUCCCAUUAGAUUAUAUGCAUCUUGUUUGUCUCGGUGUCAUGAAAAGACUUAUAAAUAUGUGGAUCCGAGGAAUAAAGGGCAUUAAACUGCGUGCUUCUCAAAUUGAUCAAUUAUCUAUAGAUUUAAAGCAGUUAAUAACAUACAUACCUAGAGAAUUUUCUAGGAAACCAAGAGGUUUAGAUGAAUUAGAUCGCUGGAAAGUGACAGAAUUUAGACUGUUUCUCUUAUAUACUAGUCUAUCAAUUUUAUGGUCAUAUUUGCCAAAUGAUUAUUUGAGACAUUUUUAUGUUCUACAUUGUGCAAUUUAUAUUCUUUGUAAUCCUGCCGAUUGCGAAUACAAUAACGAAUAUGCACAUGAAUUAUUAGUACAUUUUGUACAAACAUUUAAAAUGUUAUAUUCUGAGAACUACGUUACAUACAAUGUACAUAACUUGGUUCAUUUACAUGUUGAUGUUAAGAAUCAUGGGUGUCUGGACAUGUUCAGUGCUUUUCCAUUCGAAAAUUAUUUUCAAGAAAUGAAACGAAUGCUACGAAAAAAUGCACAACCGUUACAACAAUUGCACAGACGAUUAAUGGAAAAAUGUCAAACUGUAAGAAAUAUUGGGUAUAAACCUGAAGAAUAUCCCAUUCUUCAAAAUGCCAAGAACGAAGAAUUAUUGUUUGGAUGUACACAAUCUCAUAAAGAAAUAAUAUUUGAAAAAUUUACACUAUCCUGCAUCAAAGAAGCCGAUUUUUAUUGUUAUAUGAAUAACAGAAAUGUUCUCAUGAUUGAAUAUAUUGGAAAAAAGAAUGGAGAAACAGUAAUACUUGGAAAAAAGUUAAAAAAUUUCGAUAAUAUAUCUUCAUAUCCAUGUGAUUCGCGAAAUUUGAAAAUCUAUGUCGGAAAUGAAUGGUCUGAAAUUGGAAUGUAUCCAAUAAGUCAAAUAAGCGCAAAAGCAAUGCGACUUCCUUACAAAGAUACAUUUUGUAUAAUUCCUAUUCUACAUACUAAUGAUUGAAAUGUAUUACGUCGUAUUUUGGGACGAAUACUGCCAAGUCGUUCCCGAUUCUUGGGACCUUACAAUACAUUUGAUAAGGCUCGGGAAGCAGAAAAAUCUUGUAUUGAUAUAUCC